This 468-nucleotide ribosomal RNA is filed under the name uncultured bacterium. RNAcentral describes it as "partial 16S ribosomal RNA". It matches the Rfam family "Bacterial small subunit ribosomal RNA", at positions 28 to 507 of the family's 1533-position model. The record is from RNAcentral.
GACGAACGCUGGCGGCGUGCUUAACACAUGCAAGUCGAACGGAAAGACCCUGCUUUUGUGGGGUGCUCGAGUGGCGAACGGGUGAGUAACACGUGAGUAACCUGCCCUUGACUUUGGGAUAACUUCAGGGAACUGCGGCUAAUACCGGAUAUGAGCUCCUGCUGCAUGGUGGGGGUUGGAAAGUUUCGGCGGUUGGGGAUGGACUCGAGGCUUAUCAGCUUGUUGGGGGGGUAGUGGUGUACCAAGGCUUUGACGGGUAGCCCGCCUGAGAGGGUUAACGGGCACAAUGGGACUGAGAUACGGCCCAGACUCCUACGGGAGGCAGCAGUGGGGAAUAUUGCACAAUGGGCGGAAGCCUGAUGCAGCAACGCCGCGUGCGGGAUGACGGCCUUCGGGUUGUAAACCGAUUUCGCCUGUGACGAAGCGUGAGUGACGGUAAUGGGUAAAGAAGCACCGGCUAACUACGUG